This 67-nucleotide microRNA precursor is filed under the name Bombyx mori (domestic silkworm). RNAcentral describes it as "mir-2774 microRNA precursor family". It matches the Rfam family "mir-2774 microRNA precursor family". Lineage: Eukaryota; Metazoa; Arthropoda; Insecta; Lepidoptera; Bombycidae. The record is from Rfam by way of RNAcentral.
ACAACACUGGGUCUGUCGGUCUACUGAGCAAUUUCACCCACUCAAUGGAAUAUCUUUCCUUUGUCGU